GCCAUUUUGCUCAGUCUUCAACCCUAGUUCAGUUCUAGUUUUCUGUUUAAAUAUCGUUUCAUUUUGGGGAUCGGAACCGUCGAAUCUCCGCUCUACCUGUUUUUGUAAUUCUCUCGGGAAGCCUAAGCUUAAGUUCUGGUAGAUGGGUCAGAUUCAGUACUCUGAGAAGUACUUCGAUGAUACUUACGAGUAUAGGCAUGUGGUGCUCCCACCCGAUGUGGCAAAGUUGCUUCCGAAGAAUCGCCUUCUCUCGGAAAAUGAGUGGCGUGCAAUUGGAGUUCAGCAGAGUCGUGGGUGGGUGCACUAUGCUAUUCAUCGACCUGAGCCGCAUAUCAUGCUAUUCCGGAGGCCCCUGAACUACCAACAGCAGCAGGAGAACCUCGCUCAACAGAACGUGCUUGCUGCUAAAUGAUUGUUUCAUUUUACUGAUCAUGUGGAGUGCUACUGGCAAGAAAGAAAGCAGUCAAUAUAAAGGUUUUAAAAUGGAAAACCGUGCGCACUUUCCUGGUAUCUGUGGUCAAUCGUCCUGCCUAAAAAAUAUGCUGGAGUUUCUACGUUUACUCUGAACUCUGUAUGGUUGUAGAGGUGGCUUAUAUAUAUAUAUAUGCUUCUGUAUCUUUGCUUGACUCUGCAAUUCUAUGGAUUUAGAACCAGAUGUGGGUUUGAUGGAUCUUGGUCCUUAACUUUCUGUGCUAAGACUUGAAAAUUUGCGUCACUUUAAUGAAUUGCUUGCUUAUUAGAACUUGUGGAGUAUAAGAGCCCAUGAUUCAUUUGCUUCUUUGGUAUAAUUCAGCAUCAAGCCUGCAUUGAUAUGGAGGGAAUGUGAGAUUUUUUUACCACUUACAUCUAUGAUUUGGUGUCAAUUUUGUUUUAAAUCUCUUGGUUAUUGAUUUAGGCCAAAGAGAUUUGGACGAUUUACAUAAAUCUCAAUGUUCUGAAUGUUGAAAAGGUUAGAUCUCUUCCAAUUCUUGAUUUACUUGCUGCUUUUGUGUUUAUUUUAUCCUCAUCUUCGUCUCAAAUAGGACAUUCAGGCUUUCACCUUAUUUAGAAGCCAUUUGAAACAAGAAAAUCUCUCAAAGUUGGAUUUCCUGGAAUUAGGUAAAUGUUUCCCUGUUUUGACUAAUAAUAAAAGUUCAAGCAUUGAACAACAUUACUAUGUCUUGACAUAGAAUCCUUUAUUGGUGAGAAACUCUCCACCAUCGUGAUCUUAACAGCAAUACACUACAACUGCACCCACCACCUACUAAGUUUCUAACUUCUGCCAUUAGCUACAGAACUUUGUUGUUCCCAAAAGAGAAUAGAAAUUGUAAGAGAAAUCAAUCUUUAGUUUGUGUUGUUCCAAUUUGCCGCUGUAUUAGCGCAACCCUUCUUGCCUUAAGCUCUGCCUCUUCAAUAUGCAACAGAACCCACUUCUCAUUCAUACCUUUCAAACUCCACUCCUCCAUUCCCUUCAGCCCCUCUCUCCACACUCCAUUUCCCGGGAACUGCCGGGAAAAUUCACUCACAAGAACAGGAAAGUUCUUCAGAUCAACCCCCUUUUUCCUUGCCACUGAUCUUCCUCUAAUUCUGCGUGAAAUUACCUGCGGUUUUGUUCUGGGAAUGUGGGGUUUUCCCCAGAUGCUGCGCCCAAUCUCCAGAAUCCGUAGGUGGUGGGGAGUUUUGAUGAAGGACUUGGUUCUUGCGAAUUUGUGGUACUGGAUCUUGAGCCUGUGGAGCUUGUCGGCGAUGUGGGAGUGCCUGAAUUUGUGGCCGAGGGCGGUCGCAAUGCGGUCCAAGGCCGGAGAGUCGAGAGUGGGCUGAGAAUUCUUGGAUCCGGCGACUUCGAGGUAGCAAUUGAGAAGAUCGAGUUCGUCUUCGUCGGUGAAAUGGACUUGAAGUUGAUUUUUCUGGGAUUGGGUUAGGGGUUCGGGAGCGGCGUCGGAAGAGGCGCGGUUUCCGGUCGACGGCGGCGAGCGGCGGGGCGUUGACAUGGGGAUGCGAAAUUGGGAUUAGAUUGGGGAGUUAUUUUGAUUGGGCGGUUUUGGUGAGAGAGAGUCAAUGACUGGUUAAGGUUAGAAGAUGAUGCUUUGUUAUUGAAUGAUUGAAAGAGGGUUCCAGUAAUUUCAAUUACAAAUCAUGUUUGGACCGGGAAGGACUUCAUCGAAUUUAGAACUAAAUUAUUUAUUCAACCUUCCGUUUCAUUUC
Cucurbita moschata (crookneck pumpkin) is the source of this 2184-nucleotide RNA transcript. It is a transcript of the gene named cyclin-dependent kinases regulatory subunit 1, with no coding region annotated. The transcript is spliced from 4 exons. Lineage: Eukaryota; Viridiplantae; Streptophyta; Magnoliopsida; Cucurbitales; Cucurbitaceae. The record is from RefSeq and is a predicted model, not a curated record.